AUGGGCGGCAUGGGCUUCAGAGAUAUGAGAGCUUUCAACCAGGCUCUUCUUGAUAAACAAGCUUGGAGUCUUAUUGAAACACCUGAUAGUUUGUGUGCUAGACUGCUGAAAGCCAAGUACUUUCCUGCGGGCCAUCUUCUUGAUACAGUAUUCACAGGUAAUGGCUCGGCGGUGUGGAAGGGAAUUUUGCAUGGGCUUGAGCUGUUAAAGAAGGGUAUAAUUUGGCGCGUCGGGAACGGAACGCUUAUCAGGACCUGGAGAGAUCCUUGGAUCCCACGACCGUACUCUUACAGACCUAUCACCCCGAAGCGCAAU
This 315-nucleotide ribosomal RNA is filed under the name Triticum aestivum (bread wheat). RNAcentral's name for it is "partial small subunit ribosomal RNA". Lineage: Eukaryota; Viridiplantae; Streptophyta; Magnoliopsida; Poales; Poaceae. The record is from RNAcentral.